CCUACGGGUGGCUGCAGUAAGGAAUAUUGGUCAAUGGGCGAAAGCCUGAACCAGCCAUCCCGCGUGCAGGAUGAAGGUCCUAUGGAUUGUAAACUGCUUUUAUCAGGGAAGAAACGCCUUCAUUUAUGGGGGUCUGACGGUACCUGAGGAAUAAGCACCGGCUAACUCCGUGCCAGCAGCCGCGGUAAUACGGAGGGUGCGAGCGUUAUCCGGAAUCACUGGGUUUAAAGGGUGCGUAGGCGGGGAAUUAAGUCAGUGGUGAAAGCCUGUCGCUU
This 275-nucleotide ribosomal RNA is filed under the name uncultured bacterium. RNAcentral's name for it is "partial 16S ribosomal RNA". It matches the Rfam family "Bacterial small subunit ribosomal RNA", at positions 338 to 610 of the family's 1533-position model. The record is from RNAcentral.